Molecule: long non-coding RNA, 1440 nt
Organism: Oreochromis aureus
Lineage: Eukaryota; Metazoa; Chordata; Actinopteri; Cichliformes; Cichlidae
Source: Ensembl
CUCUUGGAGCGUGCUCGGGAUGUAGCCGGAGGCUUCUUCUCCAUCUUUGGACCCUCAGAACUUGUUUCUGCAGCCCAAUUUUUGAUGCGCUCCUUCACCCCUCCUAUACCGUUUAAGAUUUCCGGUUCGUCCCUCUUCGGCAUGGCCUCCGGCCUCGACGCAGAGUCAAACAGUUGACUGAUUCUGCGUUUUAUGCUGUUUCCCCCGGUGUAAUCCUCUUUCACUUCACCGUCAUCGCUCUCUUUGUUUGAAGGCUCUGGAGAUGCCUGCCUCUGCUCUGGCGAUGCCUGCUUCUGCUCUGGAGAUGCCUGCUUCUGCUCUGGAGAUGCCUGCUUCUGCUCUGGAGAUGCCUGCCUCUGCUCUGGCGAUGCCUGCUUCUGCUCUGGAGAUGGCUGCUUCUGCUCUGGAGAUGGCUGCUUCUGCUCUGGCGAUGCCUGCCUCUGCUCUGGCGAUGCCUGCUUCUGCUCUGGAGAUGCCUGCUUCUGCUCUGGAGAUGCCUGCUUCUGCUCUGGAGAUGCCUGUUUCUGCUCUGGAGAUGGCUGCUUCUGCUCUGGAGAUGCCUGCUUCUGCUCUGGAGAUGCCUGCUUCUGCUCUGGAGAUGCCUGCUUCUGCUCUGGAGAUGCCUGCUUCUGCUCUGGAGAUGGCUGCUUCUGCUCUGGAGAUGCCUGCUUCUGCUCUGGAGAUGCCUGCUUCUGCUCUGGAGAUGCCUGCUUCUGCUCUGGAGCAGGAGAUACUAGCCUAUUUGAACGCCCUUUGGUGUUGUAUGUGGAGAUAGCUGUGGUAGGCUGCGGGGGCAGAGACAGACCGCCUGACUCAAACUUUGAGGUGAGCUCCAUGGACAGACGCUUCCUAGCACCACCCCAACGAAAUGUUUCAUCGGUUGAAGAGGAACCAUCGCUGCCUGAGUGAUUCCGCAUUUUGACGACAGAAGCUUGAGUUUCAUCUUCCUUCGCUUUUCCGUCGUUCUGCUCUGAGUUACUUGCAACAUCUCCAGAAGCUUUGUGGUUUGUUUGGGUGAUGUCGUCUUUCUGGACAAGCUCAGAUUUCUUUGUCUCUUCGGGCUGACUGGUUUGUGAGGCUGUUUUUCCUACACUGGAAUCACGAGUUUCCUCUUUACCUGCCUCACUAGCUUUGGUUGUUGUUGGGUCACUUUUGGGAAGCUCACUUUGAGAGCCUGGUUUUGCAUUUGAGGUGACAGCCGGCUGAGAUGUUUUCUGAGCACGAGGGGUCAAAGUUGGUUUGGAGACACCUGUAGGCUCUGAUUUUUGAAUUUUCGAGGUAGCGGGGAGCGUCUUUGGGGCAUGAAUGGAGCGGAUGGUGGUGUUCUUCUGCACAGAGAAGGGCUUGGGAGCAAGGCCAGGUUUGGGGGCCAGUGGUGGCUUGGGGUUCGACGUAACACUAGUCUUGGAAGCCUCAACGGAGCUCUCCAUGGCAGAGUUG